RNAcentral lists this ribosomal RNA (844 nucleotides) under Nigrospora oryzae. Its description in RNAcentral is "partial large subunit ribosomal RNA". It matches the Rfam family "Eukaryotic large subunit ribosomal RNA", at positions 66 to 937 of the family's 3401-position model. Lineage: Eukaryota; Fungi; Ascomycota; Sordariomycetes; Amphisphaeriales; Apiosporaceae. The record is from RNAcentral.
CAACAGGGAUUCCCCUAGUAACGGCGAGUGAAGCGGGAACAGCUCAAAUUUGAAAUCUGGCCCUCGGGUCCGAGUUGUAAUUUGUAGAGGAUGCUUUUGGUGCGGUGCCUUCCGAGUUCCCUGGAACGGGACGCCUUAGAGGGUGAGAGCCCCGUACGGUUGGACGCCUAGCCUCUGUAAAGCUCCUUCGACGAGUCGAGUAGUUUGGGAAUGCUGCUCUAAAUGGGAGGUAUAUUUCUUCUAAAGCUAAAUACUGGCCAGAGACCGAUAGCGCACAAGUAGAGUGAUCGAAAGAUGAAAAGCACUUUGAAAAGAGGGUUAAAUAGCACGUGAAAUUGUUGAAAGGGAAGCGUUUAUCACCAGACUUUUUCUAGGGGGAUCAUCCGGUGUUCUCACCGGUGCACUUCCCCUAGUUGAGGCCAGCAUCGGUUUUCGGAGGGGGAUAAAAGUUUCGGGAAUGUGACUCCCCCGGGAGUGUUAUAGCCCGUUACAUAAUACCCUUCUGGGGACCGAGGUUCGCGCAUCUGCAAGGAUGCUGGCAUAAUGGUGAUCAACGACCCGUCUUGAAACACGGACCAAGGAGUCGAACAUUUAUGCGAGUGUUUGGGUGUCAAACCCUCACGCGUAAUGAAAGUGAACGGAGGUGAGAGCCCUUACGGGUGCAUCAUCGACCGAUCCUGAUGUCUUCGGAUGGAUUUGAGUAAGAGCAUAACUGUUCGGACCCGAAAGAUGGUGAACUAUGCGUGGAUAGGGUGAAGCCAGGAGAAAUCCUGGUGGAGGCUCGCAGCGGUUCUGACGUGCAAAUCGAUCGUCAAAUCUGCGCAUGGGGGCGAAAGACUAAUCG